GGGUUAAGUCCCGCAACGAGCGCAACCCCUGCCUUUAGUUGCCAGCAUUCAGUUGGGCACUCUAGAGGGACUGCCGACGUUAAGUCGGAGGAAGGUGGGGAUGACGUCAAGUCCUCAUGGCCCUUAUGUCCAGGGCUACACACGUGCUACAAUGGUCGGUACAAACGGUUGCCUAAUCGUGAGAUGAAGCUAAUCCGAAAAAGCCGAUCUAAGUUCGGAUUGAGGUCUGCAACUCGACCUCAUGAAGUUGGAAUCGCUAGUAAUCGCGGAUCAGCAUGCCGCGGUGAAUACGUUCCCGGGCCUUGUACACACCGCCCGUCACACCAUGAAAGUCGGUUGUACCAGAAGUCGCUGUGCUGACCGCAAGGAGGCAGGCGCCCAAGGUAUGGUCGAUGAUUGGGGUGAAGUCGUAACAAGGUAGCCGUAGGGGAACCUGCGGCUGGAUCACCUCCUUU
This 455-nucleotide ribosomal RNA is filed under the name uncultured bacterium. RNAcentral describes it as "bacterial SSU rRNA". It matches the Rfam family "Bacterial small subunit ribosomal RNA", at positions 1077 to 1533 of the family's 1533-position model. The record is from RNAcentral.